This 217-nucleotide ribosomal RNA is filed under the name Glomeromycotina sp. RNAcentral describes it as "partial small subunit ribosomal RNA". The stretch from base 41 to 217 matches the Rfam family "Eukaryotic small subunit ribosomal RNA", at positions 686 to 864 of the family's 1831-position model. Lineage: Eukaryota; Fungi; Glomeromycota. The record is from RNAcentral.
GGGGUCAGUAGGUUGGUCGUGCCACCGGUACGUACUGGUCUCACUGAUUCCUCCUUCCUGAAGAACCGUAAUGCCAUUAAUUUGGUGUUGCGGGGAAACAGGACUGUUACUUUGAAAAAAUUAGAGUGUUUAAAGCAAGCUAACGCUUGAAUACAUUAGCAUGGGAUAAUGAAAUAGGACGAUCGAUCCUAUUUUGUUGGUUUCUAGGAUUGACGUA